CCAGUAAUCCGUCUGAGUUCCUUAAAUGACUCGACGGGCGACUUCCGGGAAACCAAAGUUUUUAGGUUCCAGGGGAAGUAUGUUUGCAAAGAUGAAACUUAAAGAAAUUGACGGAAGGGCACCACCAGGAGUGGAGCCUGCGGCUUAAUUUGACUCAACACGGGAAAACUCACCCGGCCCGGACACUGGAAGGAUUGACAGAUUGAGAGCUCUUUCUUGAUUCAGUGGGUGGUGGUGCAUGGCCGUUCUUAGUUGGUGGAGCGAUUUGUCUGGUUAAUUCCGAUAACGAACGAGACUCUAGCCUACUAAAUAGAUCGUCGGCUUACAAACGCUGAUGAGACUUCUUAGAGGGACAGGCGGCGAUUCAGCCGCACGAAACAGAGCAAUAACAGGUCUGUGAUGCCCUUAGAUGUCCGGGGCCGCACGCGCGCUACACUGAAGUGAUCAGCGUGCAUUUUCAGCCUACUCUGCCAAGAGUGGGAAACCCAAUGAACCUUCUUCGUGAUUGGGAUAGGAGAUUGUAAUUAUUCUCCUUGAACGAGGAAUUCCCAGUAAGCGCGAGUCAUAAGCUCGCGUUGAUUACGUCCCUGCCCUUUGUACACACCGCCCGUCGCUACUACCGAUUGAAUGUUUUAGUGAGGUCUUCAGACUGGCCGGCGCAGCUGCUCUCG
Molecule: ribosomal RNA, 671 nt
Filed under: uncultured eukaryote
Lineage: Eukaryota
Description: SSU rRNA
Rfam family: Eukaryotic small subunit ribosomal RNA
Source: RNAcentral